Non-coding RNA from Malus domestica (apple), 155 nucleotides. The record is from RefSeq and is marked provisional. NCBI's taxonomy places the organism in Eukaryota, Viridiplantae, Streptophyta, Magnoliopsida, Rosales, Rosaceae.
UGCAAAAGCAAACAUGGUGUGAUAUUGGUUUUGGCUCAUAUCUCUGAUAAUUAGCUUAUCUUCGAUCAUAAAUCGUCAUGAUGCACAACAAAGACUAGUACUACGUACUCUUUGAGAUGAGCCGAACCAAUAUCACUCUUGUAUGCUUCUUUGCA